RNAcentral lists this ribosomal RNA (407 nucleotides) under uncultured bacterium. Its description in RNAcentral is "partial 16S ribosomal RNA". It matches the Rfam family "Bacterial small subunit ribosomal RNA", at positions 28 to 526 of the family's 1533-position model. The record is from RNAcentral.
GACGAACGCUGGCGGCGUGCCUAAUACAUGCAAGUAGAACGCAGUUGCGAACGGGGGAGUAACGCGUAGGUAACUACCUAUUAGAGGGGGAUAACUAUUGUAAACGAUAGCUAAUACCGCCUACAAGGAGAUGGACCUGCGUUGUAUUUGCUAGUAGGUAGGGGAAUGGCCUACCUAGGCAACGAUACAUAGCCGCCCUGGGGAGGUGAUAGGGCAGCCUUGGAUUGAGAAACGGCCCCGACUCCUACGGGAGGCAGCAGAAGGGAAUCAUUGGCAAUUGGGGGCACCCCUACCGAGACACGCCGCGUGAGUGGAGUAGGUUUUCGGAUCGUAAAGCUCUGUUGUUAAGGAAGCGGUACUUAACCAGGAAGGAACGGCUAACUACGUGCCAGCCGCCGCGGUAAUUC